Ameiurus melas (black bullhead) is the source of this 74-nucleotide non-coding RNA. The record is from the annotation of a GenBank genome assembly. NCBI's taxonomy places the organism in Eukaryota, Metazoa, Chordata, Actinopteri, Siluriformes, Ictaluridae.
GGCACUGUGGUUUAGUGGUUAACACGUUUGUCUCUCACCUGCAGUGUUGGAGGUUCGAAUCCUGUCUGUGCACA